RNAcentral lists this long non-coding RNA (567 nucleotides) under Amborella trichopoda. Its description in RNAcentral is "long non-coding RNA (ATRI_LNC004711)". The record is from RNAcentral. Lineage: Eukaryota; Viridiplantae; Streptophyta; Magnoliopsida; Amborellales; Amborellaceae.
AUUGCAAUUGCAAGUUCAUUUGAAAGAUAGAUGGAUAAUGCUGCAAUUUCUACAGGAAUAUAGACACCUCCAUUGACUCUCAGCUUCAAAGGUUCAACUUAAAAAAUAACAGAAAAGCAUUCUUAAAAAGGACACUGAAAAACCAUGAACGAUGAGCUAAGCCACCGGAAUCCCAUGAUCCGCCGUAUUUUCACCGGAAUAUGACUCCAAAACUGCCAUUUUUGCCAGAAUCCGGCUAUAUCGCCACUGCCAAUCUAGCGCAUUUCACUGAAACUAGUCAACAAAGACUAGGGCAACAAAUAAACCCUAGAAAUCCAUAACCUCAACGGCUAAUUAUAGCACAACCAGAGUCCCCAAAAAAAAAAAAAAAAUCACAACUUCCCACUCUUUCCUGUUUCUUGCUUCAAAUAUGAAGCAAAAUCCCUUUUCUUCUUGUACUCGUUGAUUUGGAGCUCGGUUAUCUCAAUCGUAUCCCCGUUAGAGAGCGAGAAACAAGGGGGGAGAGAGAUAGAAAGAGGAGAAAAGUUUGAGUCGGAUGUUAUUUUAGUAAUUUAUUGGAUAAAAAAC